RNAcentral lists this ribosomal RNA (331 nucleotides) under uncultured bacterium. RNAcentral describes it as "bacterial SSU rRNA". It matches the Rfam family "Bacterial small subunit ribosomal RNA", at positions 568 to 898 of the family's 1533-position model. The record is from RNAcentral.
CGCGUAGGCGGCUCUUCAAGUCAGGCGUGAAAGCCCCGGGCUCAACCUGGGAACGGCGCUUGGGACUGGAGGGCUGGAGUUCGGGAGAGGAGCGUGGAAUUCCCAGUGUAGAGGUGAAAUUCGUAGAUAUUGGGAAGAACACCGGUGGCGAAGGCGGCGCUCUGGACCGAGACUGACGCUGAGGCGCGAAAGCGUGGGGAGCAAACAGGAUUAGAUACCCUGGUAGUCCACGCUGUAAACGAUGUGUGCUAGACGUUGGGGGGCUUAGCUCUUCGGUGUCGCAGCAAACGCUUUAAGCACACCGCCUGGGGAGUACGGCCGCAAGGUUAAA